GACGAACGCUGGCGGCGUGCCUAAUACAUGCAAGUAGAACGCUGAAGAGAGGAGCUUGCUCUUCUUGGAUGAGUUGCGAACGGGUGAGUAAAGCGUAGGUAACCUGCCUUGUAGCGGGGGAUAACUAUUGGAAACGAUAGCUAAUACCGCAUAACAAUGGAUGACACAUGUCAUUUAUUUGAAAGGGGCAAUUGCUCCACUACAAGAUGGACCUGCGUUGUAUUAGCUAGUAGGUGAGGUAAUGGCUCACCUAGGCGACGAUACAUAGCCGACCUGAGAGGGUGGUCGGCCCCCCUGGGACGGAGACACGGCCCAAACCCCUACGGGAGGCAGCAGUAGGGAAUCUUCGGCAAUGGGGGCAACCCUGACCGAGCAACGCCGCGGGAGUGAAGAAGGGUUUCGGAUCGUAAAGCUCUUUUGUAAGUCAAGAACGGGUGUGAGAGUGGAAAGUUCACACUGUGACGGUAGCUUACCAGAAAGGGACGGCUAACUACGUG
Molecule: ribosomal RNA, 497 nt
Filed under: uncultured bacterium
Lineage: Bacteria
Description: partial 16S ribosomal RNA
Rfam family: Bacterial small subunit ribosomal RNA
Source: RNAcentral